This 301-nucleotide ribosomal RNA is filed under the name uncultured bacterium. RNAcentral's name for it is "partial 16S ribosomal RNA". It matches the Rfam family "Bacterial small subunit ribosomal RNA", at positions 509 to 807 of the family's 1533-position model. The record is from RNAcentral.
CAGUAGCCGCGGUAAUACGGAGGGAGCUAGCGUUGUUCGGAAUCACUGGGCGUAAAGCGCACGUAGGCGGCUAUUCAAGUCAGGGGUGAAAGCCCGGGGCUCAACCCCGGAACUGCCUUUGAAACUAGAUAGCUUGAAUCUUGGAGGGGCGAGUGGAAUUCCGAGUGUAGAGGUGAAAUUCGUAGAUAUUCGGAAGAACACCAGUGGCGAAGGCGACUCGCUGGACAAGUAUUGACGCUGAGGUGCGAAAGCGUGGGGAGCAAACAGGAUUAGAUACCCCGGUAGUCCCUGUCUCUUAUAC